AGAAAAGCAGGGGAUCGCAAGACCUUGCGCUUUUGGAGCGGCCGAUGUCUGAUUAGCUAGUUGGUGAGGUAAAGGCUUACCAAGGCGUCGAUCAGUAGCUGGUCUGAGAGGACGACCAGCCACACUGGGACUGAGACACGGCCCAGACUCCUACGGGAGGCAGCAGUGGGGAAUUUUGGACAAUGGGGGAAACCCUGAUCCAGCCAUGCCGCGUGAGUGGAGAAGGCCUUCGGGUUGUAAAGCUCUUUCAGCCGGAACGAAACGGUCACAGCUAAUACCUGUGACUACUGACGGUACCGGAAGAAGAAGCACCGGCUAACUACGUGCCAGCAGCCGCGGUAAUACGUAGGGUGCGAGCGUUAAUCGGAAUUACUGGGCGUAAAGCGUGCGCAGGCGGUUUUGUAAGUCAGAUGUGAAAUNCCCCGGGCUUAACCUGGGAACUGCGUUUGAAACUACAAAGCU
RNAcentral lists this ribosomal RNA (462 nucleotides) under uncultured beta proteobacterium. RNAcentral's name for it is "bacterial SSU rRNA". It matches the Rfam family "Bacterial small subunit ribosomal RNA", at positions 200 to 642 of the family's 1533-position model. The record is from RNAcentral. Lineage: Bacteria; Pseudomonadati; Pseudomonadota; Betaproteobacteria.